RNAcentral lists this transfer RNA (68 nucleotides) under bovine gut metagenome. It matches the Rfam family "tRNA". From Rfam's summary of the family: Transfer RNA (tRNA) molecules are approximately 80 nucleotides in length. The record is from RNAcentral.
CCAAUAGCUCAGUUGGUUAGAGCAACCGGCUCAUAACCGGUAGGUCCCGGGUUCGAGUCCCUGCUGGC